This 490-nucleotide ribosomal RNA is filed under the name uncultured bacterium. RNAcentral describes it as "bacterial SSU rRNA". It matches the Rfam family "Bacterial small subunit ribosomal RNA", at positions 28 to 526 of the family's 1533-position model. The record is from RNAcentral.
GACUAACGCUGGCGGCGUGCCUAACACAUGCAAGUCGAACGGACGGACCCGAAGUAGCAAUACUUUGGGCGAGUUAGUGGCGAACGGGUGAGUAACGCGUAAGCAAUGUACCCCUUUGUUCGGAAUAACAUCUCGAAAGAGUUGCUAAUACCGGAUAGUCUUCUUUGAAGGCAUCUUUAGAGAAGUAAAGAUUUAUCGCGAAGGGAUCAGCUUGCGUCCUAUUAGCUAGUUGGUGGGGUAAUGGCCUACCAAGGCAACGAUGGGUAACUGGUCUGAGAGGAUGAACAGUCACACUGGAACUGAGAUACGGUCCAGACUCCUACGGGAGGCAGCAGUGAGGAAUUUUGCGCAAUGGAGGAAACUCUGACGCAGCAACGCCGCGUGAGUGAAGACGGCCUUCGGGUUGUAAAGCUCUGUCAGGAGGGACGAGAUAGGACGGUACCUCCAGAGGAAGCCUCGGCUAACUACGUGCCAGCAGCCGCGGUAAUAC